This 64-nucleotide transfer RNA is filed under the name Phallusia fumigata. Its description in RNAcentral is "transfer RNA-Tyr". Lineage: Eukaryota; Metazoa; Chordata; Ascidiacea; Phlebobranchia; Ascidiidae. The record is from RNAcentral.
UGCACAGCUGUGCGGAGGGGUGGGGGGUUGUAAACCUCCCCAUGGGGGGCGACCUGUGGGGUGG